RNAcentral lists this ribosomal RNA (461 nucleotides) under uncultured bacterium. RNAcentral describes it as "bacterial SSU rRNA". It matches the Rfam family "Bacterial small subunit ribosomal RNA", at positions 29 to 533 of the family's 1533-position model. The record is from RNAcentral.
AACGAACGCUGGCGGCAUGCCUAACACAUGCAAGUCGAACGAACCCUUCGGGGUUAGUGGCGCACGGGUGCGUAACGCGUGGGGAUCUGCCCAAAGGUUCGGAAUAACUCAGAGAAAUUUGAGCUAAUACCGGAUAAUGUCUUCGGACCAAAGAUUUAUUGCCUUUGGAUGAACCCGCGUAGGAUUAGCUUGUUGGUGGGGUAAAGGCCUACCAAGGCGACGAUCCUUAGCUGGUCUGAGAGGAUGAUCAGCCACACUGGGACUGAGACACGGCCCAGACUCCUACGGGAGGCAGCAGUGGGGAAUAUUGGACAAUGGGCGAAAGCCUGAUCCAGCAAUGCCGCGUGAGUGAUGAAGGCCUUAGGGUUGUAAAGCUCUUUUACCAGGGAUGAUAAUGACAGUACCUAGAGAAUAAGCUCCGGCUAACUCCGUGCCAGCAGCCGCCGGUAAUGUCAGUGACU